UGGCGAACGGGUGAGUAACGCGUGAGUAACCUGCCCUGGAGUGGGGGACAACAGUUGGAAACGACUGCUAAUACCGCAUAAGCCCACGGCCCGGCAUCGGGCUGCGGGAAAAGGAUUUAUUCGCUUCAGGAUGGACUCGCGUCCAAUUAGCUGGUUGGUGAGGUAACGGCCCACCAAGGCGACGAUUGGUAGCCGGACUGAGAGGUUGAACGGCCACAUUGGGACUGAGACACGGCCCAG
Molecule: ribosomal RNA, 240 nt
Filed under: uncultured bacterium
Lineage: Bacteria
Description: partial 16S ribosomal RNA
Rfam family: Bacterial small subunit ribosomal RNA
Source: RNAcentral